GCCACUGAACUGCUGACGUGGUCUGUGAGGGCUUAGUUAGCAGGAGCGUAGCACACUGUUUGCUGACACCUGCAGAGCUGAAAACGCAUAUUCAUAGGAAAACUAGCUUCUCCAGUGCAGUGGGACAGAAAUUCAGCAAGCAGAUUGCUGUCAACUGUCUUGGGACACUUUCACGGGACUGCGUUUGGCAGCAAAGACUUGGAUCAUUCCUUGAACAAAAUUAACAUUGUCAGUGGAGGACAUGGAGGACAAGAAGGUGAGCAGCAAGAGCCUAACUCUGCUUUCAAACCCCUGAGACCUGAAGGACUUUCAUCAUUUUGGAGUCACAGGAACCAUCGUGCAACAGGACAAGACCAGAACAGAGGUAUCUGUGGAACCAAGAGUGUAGCGGAGUAUGAACUAUUCCUAUCCAUGGCUUUAUAUAUCAGCAUUUAUCUGACUGGAGGAAAAGAAUGUAUUUUAGGUGACUUGCCUCUUCUCUGAAGCUUAUUCAAAUACAACUGAAGUCAACAGAAAGUUUGCAAUUGGCUUCAGAAAUAUCUACUCUUUAGUCUUCUGUGAAUUUGUGGCCUUUUCAGUAUGGUGACAAUUUAAAAUUCUUUGUUUCACAAUUUAUUUCAUCACUGAAUAAAUUAUUUUAAAUUUC
This is a non-coding RNA of Phalacrocorax carbo (great cormorant), 646 nucleotides long. The record is from RefSeq and is a predicted model, not a curated record. NCBI's taxonomy places the organism in Eukaryota, Metazoa, Chordata, Aves, Suliformes, Phalacrocoracidae.